This 250-nucleotide ribosomal RNA is filed under the name uncultured prokaryote. RNAcentral's name for it is "partial 16S ribosomal RNA". It matches the Rfam family "Bacterial small subunit ribosomal RNA", at positions 524 to 773 of the family's 1533-position model. The record is from RNAcentral.
UACGUAUGGGGCAAGCGUUAUCCGGAUUCACUGGGUGUAAAGGGAGCGUAGACGGAAUAGAAAGCCAGAUGUGAAAAUCCGGGGCUCAACCCCGGACCUGCAUUUGGAACUUCUUAACUAGAGUACUGGAGGGGCAGGCGGAAUUCCUGGUGUAGCGGUGAAAUGCGUAGAUAUCAGGAGGAACACCGGUGGCGAAGGCGGCCUGCUGGACGGAUACUGACGUUGAGGCUCGAAAGCGUGGGGAGCAAAC